GGAACAGAGCGACGAAGUAGCUGGCCAGAAAUAACUAAUAAGACAUUCACUCUAAGACGGGCGGCCAACCGGCCCGGACGAACGCGCUGUCAAAGCGCCGGAUAUUGGUGAACGAACGAGUGGGUACCGCUCGGGGCCCCCAUAGAGAGGGCCCCCAACCGGAAGAGGCCGCCGAAAGGCGGUCCAUCUGU
Apis florea (little honeybee) is the source of this 191-nucleotide long non-coding RNA. The record is from RefSeq and is a predicted model, not a curated record. NCBI's taxonomy places the organism in Eukaryota, Metazoa, Arthropoda, Insecta, Hymenoptera, Apidae.